Molecule: ribosomal RNA, 254 nt
Filed under: uncultured bacterium
Lineage: Bacteria
Description: partial 16S ribosomal RNA
Rfam family: Bacterial small subunit ribosomal RNA
Source: RNAcentral
UACGGGGGGAGCAAGCGUUGUUCGGAUUUACUGGGCGUAAAGGGCGCGUAGGCGGCCAGCACAAGUCAGUUGUGAAAUCUCCGAGCUUAACUCGGAAAGGUCAACUGAUACUGUGCGGCUAGAGUGCGGAAGGGGCAACUGGAAUUCUUGGUGUAGCGGUGAAAUGCGCAGAUAUCAGGAGGAACACCGGUGGCGAAGGCGGGUCUCUGGGCAACAACUGACGCUGAGGAGCGAAAGCGUGGGGAGCAAACAGG